This 738-nucleotide ribosomal RNA is filed under the name uncultured euryarchaeote. RNAcentral's name for it is "bacterial SSU rRNA". It matches the Rfam family "Archaeal small subunit ribosomal RNA", at positions 128 to 871 of the family's 1478-position model. Lineage: Archaea; Methanobacteriati; Methanobacteriota. The record is from RNAcentral.
AACCUCGGGAAACUGAAAUUCUUUUAAAUAGUUAAAAAAGGGGGGAAGGGGGUGUGGAUAAAAGGUUAAGGAUUAGGAUGGGUUUGUGGAGUAUGUCCUCGUAGGGGGUGUAAUGGACUUCCUAGCUCAUUGACUCGUAUGGGUUGUGGGAUCAAUAGCCCGAAGAUGGAUUCUGAAACACGAAUCCAAACCCUACGGGGUGAAGCAGGUGCAAAAACUUCACACUGAAGGAAACUGUGAUGAGGGAACUCCAAGUGCAUGAACUAUGGGUAUGCUUUUCUUAAUUAUUAAUCGUUUUUGAAAUAAGGGCUGGAAAAGACCGGUGCCAGCCGCCGCGUUAAUACCGGCUGCUCAGGUGGUCGUCGUUUUUAUUGGGCCUAAAACGUCCGUAGCUUGUUUAGUAAAUUCGUGGGUAAAUCAACCUGAUUAACUGGUUGAAUUCUGCAAAGACUGUUAAACUAGGGACCGGAAAAGGUGUGAGGUAUUCUAGGGGUAGAGGUAAAUUUCUGUCAUCCUUGGAGGACCACCAGUUGCGAAGGCGUCACACUAUAACGGAUCCGACGGUCAGGAACGAACCCUAGGGGCACCAACCGAAUUAAAUACCCGGGUAGUCCUAGGUGUAAACGCUGUGAACUUGUUGUCAGAAUUCCGUCAGGGGACCUCGCUGCCUAAGUGAAAAUGUUAAGUUCACUGUCUGGGAAGUACGGUCGGAAGGCUAAAACUCAAAGGAAUUGACGG